RNAcentral lists this ribosomal RNA (158 nucleotides) under Sirastachys phaeospora. RNAcentral's name for it is "partial large subunit ribosomal RNA". It matches the Rfam family "Eukaryotic large subunit ribosomal RNA", at positions 99 to 261 of the family's 3401-position model. The record is from RNAcentral. Lineage: Eukaryota; Fungi; Ascomycota; Sordariomycetes; Hypocreales; Stachybotryaceae.
CGGCAACAGCUCAAAUUUGAAAUCUGGCCCUAGGCCCGAGUUGUAAUUUGCAGAGGAUGCUUUUGGUGAGGUACCUUCCGAGUCCCUUGGAACAGGGCGCCAUAGAGGGUGAGAGCCCCGUCUGGUUGGAUACCGAACCUCUGUAAAGCUCCUUCGAC